UACGUAGGGGGCAAGCGUUAUCCGGAUUUAUUGGGCGCAAAGGGAACGCAGGCGGUCUUUUAAGUCUGAUGUGAAAGCCUUCGGCUUAACCGGAGUAGUGCAUUGGAAACUGGGAGACUUGAGUGCAGAAGAGGAGAGUGGAACUCCAUGUGUAGCGGUGAAAUGCGUAGAUAUAUGGAAGAACACCAGUGGCGAAGGCGGCUCUCUGGUCUGUAACUGACGCUGAGGUUCGAAAGCGUGGGUAGCAAACAGG
Molecule: ribosomal RNA, 253 nt
Filed under: uncultured bacterium
Lineage: Bacteria
Description: partial 16S ribosomal RNA
Rfam family: Bacterial small subunit ribosomal RNA
Source: RNAcentral